Molecule: long non-coding RNA, 1536 nt
Filed under: Theobroma cacao (cacao)
Lineage: Eukaryota; Viridiplantae; Streptophyta; Magnoliopsida; Malvales; Malvaceae
Description: long non-coding RNA (TCAC_LNC001068)
Source: RNAcentral
UCAUAACAUAAAUAUUCAUUUCAUUUAAAUAAUCAACAUGGCUUAUGAGUAUCUUAAAAGCAUGGCUCCUGCCAAAAUCAUUCUCGAGAAUACCUUGGCCGAGGCAUCUAAUCAAGUCUGCCAAGGUUGUUAAAAAUUUCACAUACAUGUAAACAUAUUUUUAGUUUGAAAAACACAGUCGUUCCUUGGCGUUAGCAGAGUUCAUCAUCACGAGGUGGUUCGGCGUGACGUCAACUCUAACCCUACCUCAGAAGAUACCCUACACGUCUCUCCGAUUUAGGUACGUAUAUAACCGAAUUUUGUGCCCCUCUAAUAGCUGGUCCACAGAACCAGCCCACUGCAGCAAGCUAAACCCACCAUACAAUAAAAAUUCAACAGCAUGACAUGGCAAUUUUAUCAUUAUCUAGCCUAUCAAGGCAAACAACAGUUUAUACAUUUUCAACUCAAAUACCAAUUCAGUCAUUCAUGCCAAUAUUGCCAUAAGCCAAUCAAUUAGAACCAUAAAUUCACAAUACAUCAAAUGGUCUCCAAUUACUCUAUUUUCAAAGCCGUCAUUCAAUUUCAAGACAAUUUAUAAAAUCAUUUCAUUUAAACACAUUUUGUUUAUAAAACCUAAAAAUUAACCAUUUAAACUCAUUUUCCAUAAAAUUCACAAAAUCAAAUAAAAAGAGCACUUUAGAUAAUUAAAAUGAUGAUAAGGUUACUCACUAUUUCCGGAGUCAAAUUUUUAUAGUACUCUGACUAUCGAUCCUCGGGUACAAUUUCUUUGCCCUUAUCAGAGGAUUCACCACCUAGACAUAAUGCACAAUCAAGCAAUUUACCACAUUGGUGCUAAACCAUUAUAAAACUAUAUGGAUGCAUGAAAUGGAAUGCAAAUUGUUUGGAUUAUCGUCUAAACACGGUGUUCUACACAAAUUCAAUUGUGUACCUAAAUAAAACGGUAUUGGCCUAAUUCGAUCUAUCACUCAAUUAAUUGGCCAAUAUGCCCAAUUCAACUCCAAUUAACUCCAUUUUUCUUCCAAUUCUCUAAACCAUCAAACACAAGUCAAAUAGCAUAAAAGUUAGCAAAAUCAUCUUCACAUUUUCUCUUGGGAAUUUCGGCCAUGGUGGGUGCAUCAACACUAUGAUUUUCCUACUUGAUUUUCUCACCGCAAUUCAUCAUUUCCUAACCAAUUCACUUGAAAUAAAAUCAAAUCCACCAUCCACACUCUACAUGGAAAAUUUGGCCAAUGAUGGGUAAUGGGAGGAAGUGAAUUUUUCUUGUUGGCUCUUCAUGCUACACAUCACUAACUAUCUAAAAACACUAAAAUACAUUGAAAUCUAACCAAAUCAAGCAUCAAAACCUCCCUCUAAGUGUUCGGCCAGCAAGGGAUUCAUCAUGCUUUCAUGUGAUUCAACCAUGGAAAAUAAGAAAAAAUGCUUAAGAAAGAGAGAUCUCAAGCUUAAAUUGAAAAAUCUUACUUUUUUUCACUUGUUUCCUUGAAUUUUUUCACCUAGGGUUUUGUUCUUCCUUUUUCUUGCUUCUUCUUGGUGAGG